GACGAACGCUGGCGGCGUGCYUAAUACAUGCAAGUCGAGCGGACCGACGGGAGCUUGCUCCCUUAGGUCAGCGGCGGACGGGUGAGUAACACGUGGGUAACCUGCCUGUAAGACUGGGAUAAYUCCGGGAAACCGGGGYUAAUACCGGAUGCUUGAUUGAACCGCAUGGUUCAAUCAUAAAAGGUGGCUUUYAGCUACCACUUACAGAUGGACCCGCGGCGCAUUAGCUAGUUGGUGAGGUAACGGCUCACCAAGGCGACGAUGCGUAGCCGACCUGAGAGGGUGAUCGGCCACACUGGGACUGAGACACGGCCCAGACUCCUACGGGAGGCAGCAGUAGGGAAUCUUCCGCAAUGGACGAAAGUCUGACGGAGCAACGCCGCGUGAGU
This 389-nucleotide ribosomal RNA is filed under the name Bacillus sp. R-30940. RNAcentral's name for it is "bacterial SSU rRNA". It matches the Rfam family "Bacterial small subunit ribosomal RNA", at positions 28 to 406 of the family's 1533-position model. The record is from RNAcentral. Lineage: Bacteria; Bacillati; Bacillota; Bacilli; Caryophanales; Bacillaceae.